AACUUUUGGCAAUGGAUCACUUGGCUCUGCCAUCGAUGAAGAACGCAGCGAAAUGCGAUAUGUAAUGUGAAUUGCAGAAUUUAGUGAAUCAUCGAAUCUUUGAACGCACAUUGCGCCCCUUGGUAUUCCGAGGGGCAUGCCUGUCCGAGCGUCAUAUACACCAUUCAAGCUCUGCUUGGUAUUAGGCCAUGCCAGCGAUGGCAGGCCUUAAAUUUAGUGGCGGCACCGUUGGGUCCCGAGCGUAGUACUCACCUCGCUACGGGUCCUGGCAGCUGGCGACCAGCAACCCCAACUUCUUAAGGUUGACCUCGGAUCAGGUAGGAAUACCCGCUGAACUUAAGCAUAUCAAUAGCGGAGGCU
This 360-nucleotide unclassified non-coding RNA is filed under the name uncultured Ascomycota. Its description in RNAcentral is "sequence contains ITS2". The stretch from base 1 to 154 matches the Rfam family "5.8S ribosomal RNA". The record is from RNAcentral. Lineage: Eukaryota; Fungi; Ascomycota.